Molecule: non-coding RNA, 28 nt
Filed under: unclassified sequences
Description: L19-Flavobacteria ribosomal protein leader
Rfam family: L19-Flavobacteria ribosomal protein leader
Source: RNAcentral
UAACCUCUGGCGAGAGGCGUGAAUGUUG